GGGGUCGUAGCCUAGCAAGGUAGGGCGUUGGGCUCCAGACCCAAAGGCCGGGGGUUCAAGUCCCCUCGACCCCA
This 74-nucleotide transfer RNA is filed under the name Thermoproteota archaeon. RNAcentral's name for it is "Crenarchaeota archaeon (sediment metagenome) tRNA-Trp". It matches the Rfam family "tRNA". From Rfam's summary of the family: Transfer RNA (tRNA) molecules are approximately 80 nucleotides in length. Lineage: Archaea; Thermoproteati; Thermoproteota. The record is from RNAcentral.